CCUACGGGAGGCAGCAGUGGGGAAUAUUGGACAAUGGGGGCAACCCUGAUCCAGCCAUGCCGCGUGUGUGAAGAAGGCCCUCGGGUUGUAAAGCACUUUCAGUGAGGAAGAACGCCUGGUGGUUAAUACCCAUCAGGAAAGACAUCACUCACAGAAGAAGCACCGGCUAACUCCGUGCCAGCAGCCGCGGUAAUACGGAGGGUGCGAGCGUUAAUCGGAAUUACUGGGCGUAAAGCGCGCGUAGGUGGCUUGAUAAGCCGGUUGUGAAAGCCCCGGGCUCAACCUGGGAACGGCAUCCGGAACUGUCAAGCUAGAGUGCCGGAGAGGAAGGUAGAAUUCCCGGUGUAGCGGUGAAAUGAGUAGAGAGCGGGAGGAAUACCAGUGGCGAAGGCGGCCUUCUGGACUGACACUGACACUGAGGUGCGAAAGCGUGGGUAGCAAACAGGAUUAUAUACCCUUGUAGUC
This 465-nucleotide ribosomal RNA is filed under the name Vreelandella stevensii. RNAcentral's name for it is "partial 16S ribosomal RNA". It matches the Rfam family "Bacterial small subunit ribosomal RNA", at positions 338 to 795 of the family's 1533-position model. The record is from RNAcentral. Lineage: Bacteria; Pseudomonadati; Pseudomonadota; Gammaproteobacteria; Oceanospirillales; Halomonadaceae.